UCAAACAGAAUAUGAGACACUCUGUAAAAAUAUAUACUUCUACAAUUGAUUCUUCUAGACAUACCUUAUUUCGCACAUAUUGUUUUAACUUAUACAAGAAUCUACACAUACAAAAUGAUGAAAAAAAUAUAAAUUAUACAUAAUUAGAAUUGUAAUGGUUAUAAAUUAAGUAAAAAAAUUAAUUUUUUAUAAUAUUAUUAUCGCUCAAUAGGAUAUAUCCAUCGAUACUGAAUUGGCCCG
Molecule: long non-coding RNA, 240 nt
Filed under: Elaeis guineensis (African oil palm)
Lineage: Eukaryota; Viridiplantae; Streptophyta; Magnoliopsida; Arecales; Arecaceae
Description: long non-coding RNA (EGUI_LNC032493)
Source: RNAcentral